GUUCCUAUGGUCUAGUGGUUAUGACGCUUCGUUGUGGUUCAUCGAAGCUAUCCCGAAGCAGCCCGUGUUCGAUUCACGGUGGGGACA
Non-coding RNA from Ceratobasidium sp. AG-Ba, 87 nucleotides. The record is from the annotation of a GenBank genome assembly. NCBI's taxonomy places the organism in Eukaryota, Fungi, Basidiomycota, Agaricomycetes, Cantharellales, Ceratobasidiaceae.